Molecule: ribosomal RNA, 533 nt
Filed under: Amolops xinduqiao
Lineage: Eukaryota; Metazoa; Chordata; Amphibia; Anura; Ranidae
Description: partial large subunit ribosomal RNA
Rfam family: Bacterial large subunit ribosomal RNA
Source: RNAcentral
CAUCGCCUCUUGCCCCCAAAUAUAAGAGGUCCAGCCUGCCCAGUGACAUAGUUUAACGGCCGCGGUACCCUAACCGUGCGAAGGUAGCAUAAUCACUUGUUCUUUAAAUAAGGACUCGUAUCAACGGCAUCACGAGGGCUGUACUGUCUCCUUUCUCCAAUCAGUGAAACUGAUCUCCCCGUGAAGAAGCGGGGAUUGACCUAUAAGACGAGAAGACCCCAUGGAGCUUUAAACCCAACACACACCUCUACUCACUCAAAUCAACAUAACCCAAGAGACUUGUGUGUUGGUUUUAGGUUGGGGGGACCGCGGAGUAAAAUCAAACCUCCAUGACAGACGGACUAACACCCUUAUCCAUGAACCACAAUUCUAAGAGCCAAUAAAUUGUUGUCUAAUGACCCAAUUACUUGAUCAACGAACCAAGUUACCCUGGGGAUAACAGCGCAAUCUACUUCAAGAGCCCCUAUCGACAAGUAGGUUUACGACCUCGAUGUUGGAUCAGGGUAUCCUAGUGGUGCAGCCGCUACUAAAGG